RNAcentral lists this ribosomal RNA (253 nucleotides) under uncultured bacterium. RNAcentral describes it as "partial 16S ribosomal RNA". It matches the Rfam family "Bacterial small subunit ribosomal RNA", at positions 524 to 776 of the family's 1533-position model. The record is from RNAcentral.
UACAGAGGUCCCAAGCGUUGUUCGGAUUCACUGGGCGUAAAGGGUGCGUAGGCGGUUGGGUAAGUCUGAUGUGAAAUCUCACAGCUUAACUGUGAAACUGCAUUGGAUACUAUCCAACUCGAGGAAUGGAGGGGAGACUGGAAUACUUGGUGUAGCAGUGAAAUGCGUAGAUAUCAAGUGGAACACCAGUGGCGAAGGCGGGUCUCUGGACAGUUCCUGACACUGAGACACGAAGGCCAGGGGAGCAAACGGG